UCAACGUUUGACAUCGGAUCAGGUAGGGAUACCCGCUGAACUUAAGCAUA
Molecule: ribosomal RNA, 50 nt
Filed under: Drechslera sp. BAFC 3419
Lineage: Eukaryota; Fungi; Ascomycota; Dothideomycetes; Pleosporales; Pleosporaceae
Description: partial 28S ribosomal RNA
Source: RNAcentral